This 497-nucleotide ribosomal RNA is filed under the name uncultured bacterium. Its description in RNAcentral is "partial 16S ribosomal RNA". It matches the Rfam family "Bacterial small subunit ribosomal RNA", at positions 28 to 507 of the family's 1533-position model. The record is from RNAcentral.
GACGAACGCUGGCGGCGUGCCUAAUACAUGCAAGUUGAGCGCUGAAGGUUGGUACUUGUACCAACUGGAUGAGCAGCGAACGGGUGAGUAACGCGUGGGGAAUCUGCCUUUGAGCGGGGGACAACAUUUGGAAACGAAUGCUAAUACCGCAUAAAAACUUUAAACACAAGUUUUAAGUUUGAAAGAUGCAAUUGCAUCACUCAAAGAUGAUCCCGCGUUGUAUUAGCUAGUUGGUGAGGUAAAGGCUCACCAAGGCGAUGAUACAUAGCCGACCCGAGAGGGUGAUCGGCCAAAUUGGGACUGAGACACGGCCCAAACUCCUACGGGAGGCAGCAGGAGGGAAUCUUCGGCAAUGGACGAAAGUCUGACCGAGCAACGCCGCGUGAGUGAAGAAGGGUUUCGGAUCGUAAAACUCUGUUGGUAGAGAAGAACGUUGGUGAGAGUGGAAAGCUCAUCAAGUGACGGUAACUACCCAGAAAGGGACGGCUAACUACGUG